RNAcentral lists this long non-coding RNA (731 nucleotides) under Felis catus (domestic cat). RNAcentral's name for it is "lncRNA (ENSFCAG00000049223.1)". Lineage: Eukaryota; Metazoa; Chordata; Mammalia; Carnivora; Felidae. The record is from RNAcentral.
CAGUGUUCUAAUUUCUUUAAAUAUAUGUGUAUUAUUUAUACAGUUUCUCCUGAUUCUUGCAGGGUUACAUGGGAUGGCUGAUAUAACCUACUGUAUCCUACGUGCCAGCAGAAGGCAUCUCCUGGGAUACUAAAGUUUGGAGUCCCUUUUGACUUAAGGGCCAUUGGCCUUCAGGUAUGAUGCUCAUUUUGUCAUCCUGCGAGGCUCACAGAGACCUAAAGCGUGGAACACAUCUCAACAUGUACUGAAUAAGUUGGAAAAGGGGAGGACCAAACUGGAAGUGUUGGACUGGUUUGCAGGUGACAUGUACCUUUACCAAUUCAUUUCUCUGAGUACUAAUUUUCUCCAGCUAAUGGGGGCAGGAUGUAUUGAUGUCUGAGAAAGCAAAUCCCCCCAUGCUCCAGCCUGCCUUUUGUUCUGUAGGACAAAUGUUUUGCAUAACAAAAGUGUUUUAUGUAUUAACCAGUAUCUAUUUGUAAAAAUAGGAUAUAAUGAAAUGAACAUAUAUCUUGGAAGUAACAGAUCCUAGGUUUAAAUCGAAUCUCUACCAUAGCCUAUGAUCUUAAAAAAUACUUAACUUCUCUGCACCUCAUUUUCUCUUCUUAAAUACAGGGUAACAAUAUUUACCUCAUGGUAUGCUUAAAUGAAAUAAUGCAUGUCACUAGCCUGGUCUGUAUGUAAGGUAGGAAAUAAGUAAUAAAGUCUCUAAAACCUAAGGAUUCUAAGAUGCC